CCUACGGGAGGCAGCAGUAGGGAAUCUUCCGCAAUGGACGAAAGUCUGACGGAGCAACGCCGCGUGAACGAUGAAGGCCUUCGGGUCGUAAAGUUCUGUUGUUAGGGAAGAACAAGUGCUAGUUAAAUAAGCUGGCACCUUGACGGUACCUAACCAGAAAGCCACGGCUAACUACGUGCCAGCAGCCGCGGUAAUACGUAGGUGGCAAGCGUUGUCCGGAAUUAUUGGGCGUAAAGCGCGCGCAGGCGGUUUCUUAAGUCUGAUGUGAAAGCCCCCGGCUCAACCGGGGAGGGUCAUUGGAAACUGGGAAACUUGAGUGCAGAAGAGGAAAGUGGAAUUCCAAGUGUAGCGGUGAAAUGCGUAGAGAUUUGGAGGAACACCAGUGGCGAAGGCGACUUUCUGGUCUGUAACUGACGCUGAGGCGCGAAAGCGUGGGGAGCAAACAGGAUUAGAUACCCUGGUAGUCCACGCUGUAAACGAUGAGUGCUAAGUGUUAGAGGGUUUCCGCCCUUUAGUGCUGAAGUUAACGCAUUAAGCACUCCGCCUGGGGAUACGGUCGCAAGACUGAAACUCAAAUGAAUUGACG
This 586-nucleotide ribosomal RNA is filed under the name uncultured bacterium. Its description in RNAcentral is "bacterial SSU rRNA". It matches the Rfam family "Bacterial small subunit ribosomal RNA", at positions 338 to 915 of the family's 1533-position model. The record is from RNAcentral.